UCAAGGCCAUUAUUAUAUCUACUAAAUAGUGAUGUGUCGGUCACGAACGAUUCGUUCAGUAUGAACUAAUCCUUUAUAUGACUCGGGAGUAACGGGUUCUCUCAGUGAGCGAUUC
Molecule: long non-coding RNA, 115 nt
Organism: Melanotaenia boesemani (Boeseman's rainbowfish)
Lineage: Eukaryota; Metazoa; Chordata; Actinopteri; Atheriniformes; Melanotaeniidae
Exons: 4
Source: RefSeq, a predicted model, not a curated record